ACCCCAAAACCCCAGCCAACGUCCCAGAACUUCCCUAUUCGACCGCUAGCUUCCCUAUUCGGCCGCUACAAGCCUCCCAACUCGUCCGACUGUCCAAGCUUCACUCGCUCGGCGGCCCCAAGCCUCCAUCCGACUCAAAGAUUGAAAAAACAGUGAAAAAACAGAGGAAAACCGGGGGAAAACAAACCUCAUCCGCUCUAAUCCUCCCACGGUAAAAAAUCUUCCAUUUUUCUUUUCAUUCAUUCUCUUUUUUCUUUUUUCGGAGAUCUGAGGGGAAGGAGAACCCCUUCUUCGGAGAUCUAAGGGAAGGAGAGAAUCCCUGAGAGAGGAUUUGGGGAUCUGAGGGGAAGGAGAACCCCUUUUUCGGAGAUCUGAGGGGGAGGAGAGAACCAAGUGCGAGAGGGUUUGGGGUUGCGGCAGUUUGGGAAGAGGAGAACGCGAGGGGUUUGUUCCGGUGGGGGAAGAAGAACGCCAGCAGCAGCGAUUGAAGAUUGGGGUUUGCGCGAGCUGCGACAGAUUGGGAAGGAGAAUGCGUGACAGAGCACUACAAGAAAAUUGUCUUAACGAAUUGGUCGCGAAUUGGUCGCUGAUAGGUAGUUUGUCG
Molecule: long non-coding RNA, 604 nt
Filed under: Elaeis guineensis (African oil palm)
Lineage: Eukaryota; Viridiplantae; Streptophyta; Magnoliopsida; Arecales; Arecaceae
Description: long non-coding RNA (EGUI_LNC014113)
Source: RNAcentral